Small nuclear RNA from Microplitis mediator, 186 nucleotides. RefSeq annotates it as U2 spliceosomal RNA. The record is from RefSeq and is a predicted model, not a curated record. Lineage: Eukaryota; Metazoa; Arthropoda; Insecta; Hymenoptera; Braconidae. The transcript has a single exon.
GAAGUUUAUUGACUUUAAUAAAAAGUGAUUUAAUCUGUUCUUAUCAGCUUAAUAUCUGAUACGAUUCUCAUUGAGAAUCCAGUAUAUUAAUCUGAUUUUUGGAAAUUGGUCGAGUCCCGGAGCUUGCUCCGGUUCGACCACGAGUUGCCCUGUCAUUGCAGUACAGGCGGGUGCAGCUCAAUAAUA